This 517-nucleotide ribosomal RNA is filed under the name Salmonella enterica subsp. enterica serovar Enteritidis. RNAcentral describes it as "partial 23S ribosomal RNA". It matches the Rfam family "Bacterial large subunit ribosomal RNA", at positions 694 to 1209 of the family's 2925-position model. Lineage: Bacteria; Pseudomonadati; Pseudomonadota; Gammaproteobacteria; Enterobacterales; Enterobacteriaceae. The record is from RNAcentral.
GUUAAGUUGCAGGGUAUAGACCCGAAACCCGGUGAUCUAGCCAUGGGCAGGUUGAAGGUUGGGUAACACUAACUGGAGGACCGAACCGACUAAUGUUGAAAAAUUAGCGGAUGACCUGUGGCUGGGGGUGAAAGGCCAAUCAAACCGGGAGAUAGCUGGUUCUCCCCGAAAGCUAUUUAGGUAGCGCCUCGUGAAUUCAUCUCCGGGGGUAGAGCACUGUUUCGGCUAGGGGGCCAUCCCGGCUUACCAACCCGAUGCAAACUGCGAAUACCGGAGAAUGUUAUCACGGGAGACACACGGCGGGUGCUAACGUCCGUCGUGAAGAGGGAAACAACCCAGACCGCCAGCUAAGGUCCCAAAGUCAUGGUUAAGUGGGAAACGAUGUGGGAAGGCCCAGACAGCCAGGAUGUUGGCUUAGAAGCAGCCAUCAUUUAAAGAAAGCGUAAUAGCUCACUGGUCGAGUCGGCCUGCGCGGAAGAUGUAACGGGGCUAAACCAUGCACCGAAGCUGCGGCAGC